GCCAUUUAUGAUUAUGUAAAAGUACAAUAACUGGAUGAUAUUUGCGAGAUUCGGCGAUAAAAAGCAAACAAGACGGCAAAAUAUGGCUGAAAUCGUGGGGGGUAAGUGAAAUAAAAUGUAUUAUAUUUAAAGAAAACAAUGACAAUCCUUAUGAUAUCAACAAUAUUUAUAUUAAAUUAAGCAUAGUUUUUCACCCCAUGAUAUUUUUUUUUAGGAAAUAAGAAUAUUUAAUUUCUGCCAGGCAUAUUAGUGAUUUUAUGCAUAAUUAGCAAUUUACCUGGGUAUUUGCAUGGUCAUUUUCUUGUAAAAUAUUUACUUAGACAAAUUUUUUCUUCCAAUGACCAGCCCUAAAAGUAACCCUUCUAAACACUAUAAGCACUUCAGAAAGACUAUCGCUUUUUGUUUUCUGAAGUUAGAACUAUGUCGACACUACCGUUUCAGGGCGGGGUCAUUUUCAGGACUUUCGUCCCGGAUUCAGGUUUUGGCACAUAUGCCAUGUUGACCGGCAUGGUCAUUUUACCCUAAAACAGUUGAGAUUACCUGUGCUAAAUGAAACGCAUACAAACUCAUAUACAGGUCCUAGACUAAAGUAUUCGAAAUAUGAGUGUUCCAUUUGAGAUCAUUAGAGAUGGUAAGGCCCAGUAGUUUUGUAGAUGUUACGACCUCGACAUUUUUACCAUUAAUAGUUAUGGGCUCAAAUACUUUGUUAGGCCUAGAAAAGCUUAUCCGGAGCUCUUUGCACUUGGUUUCUUUUAAUUGGAGGCCAUCUGCAAUUGACUUUCUGGCAAAUUCGUCUACAUAAUUUUGGAUUAAACUUGAGUCAUUUCUACCAACGGACUCAGACAUAGUUGAGUCAUCGACAUACUUCCAGAGAUCGUGAACACCAGAUACAUUUAGAUCGUUUAUCAUUAUUACGAAGAGCCAGGGGCCUAACUUCGUGCCUUGGGGGACACCUGCGGGUACAUCACUCCACUCUGAGAAGCAGUUAUUACACAGUUUCACUCUCUGUUUGCGGUUACUCAGGAAAUCUAAAAUCCAGUACAUAAUGGUUUUCAGGAAUGUUAUAUCUUGUAAGCUUCUCCGAUAAAAUGUUAUGAUCAAUCAGAUUGAAAGCUUUCCCAAAGUCAAACAACA
This is a non-coding RNA of Paramuricea clavata, 1134 nucleotides long. The record is from the annotation of a GenBank genome assembly. NCBI's taxonomy places the organism in Eukaryota, Metazoa, Cnidaria, Anthozoa, Malacalcyonacea, Plexauridae.